GGCGUGCUUACACAUGCAGUCGAACGAUGACGGUGGUGCUUGCACCGCCUGAUUAGUGGCGAACGGGUGAGUAACACGUGAGUAACCUGCCCUCCACUUCGGGAUAACCUCGGGAAAUCGUGGCUAAUACCGGAUAUGAGCACUCAUCGCAUGGUGGGUGUUGGAAAGAUUUAUCGGUGGGGGAUGGACUCGCGGCCUAUCAGUUUGUUGGUGAGGUGAUGGCUCACCAAGACGAUGACGGGUAGCCGGCCUGAGAGGGCGACCGGCCACACUGGGACUGAGACACGGCCCAGACUCCUACGGGAGGCAGCAGUGGGGAAUAUUGCACAAUGGGCGAAAGCCUGAUGCAGCGACGCCGCGUGGGGGAUGACGGCCUUCGGGUUGUAAACCCCUUUCAGUAGGGAAGAAGCGAGAGUGACGGUACCUGCAGAAGAAGCGCCGGCUAACUACGUGCCAGCAGCCGCGGCAAU
This 470-nucleotide ribosomal RNA is filed under the name uncultured bacterium. RNAcentral's name for it is "bacterial SSU rRNA". It matches the Rfam family "Bacterial small subunit ribosomal RNA", at positions 41 to 524 of the family's 1533-position model. The record is from RNAcentral.